Molecule: long non-coding RNA, 375 nt
Organism: Ostrea edulis (European flat oyster)
Lineage: Eukaryota; Metazoa; Mollusca; Bivalvia; Ostreida; Ostreidae
Exons: 4
Source: RefSeq, a predicted model, not a curated record
UUGACUUUUGAGAGGCAUUGUCUAUGCUUGUUUGCUGUCAGAGAUAUUCAAGAGAAAGAAGAAAUACUGUAUAACUAUGGAGAUACUCAGAAUCUCUGGUGGAGAAAUAAGUGGAACAUACAUGUAAUGGAAACACAGAAAAUGAUGAAAAUGGACAGGGUGACUAUGAGGGAAGCAGUAGCUGCAGCAACCAAAGGAACAAGUCAGGUUCUGUUCAGGAGUCCCUAAAUGGUAUUCAAUGUUCUGCAAUGCUUCCAGAGGAAACUUGUUAUGUUAAUGAAGAAGAUACUAACGGUGAUGAUGAACAGGUGGAAUCAGUUCAAAAGAAUGUUCCUAGGACAUCUACAAAAUGCUCAGGCAAGAAUUAAGUUUCAU